This 273-nucleotide ribosomal RNA is filed under the name uncultured prokaryote. RNAcentral describes it as "partial 16S ribosomal RNA". It matches the Rfam family "Bacterial small subunit ribosomal RNA", at positions 524 to 798 of the family's 1533-position model. The record is from RNAcentral.
UACGUAGGGGCUAGCGUUAUCCGGAAUUACUGGGCGUAAAGGGUGCGUAGGUGGUUUCUUAAGUCAGAGGUGAAAGGCUACGGCUCAACUGUAGUAAGCCUUUGAAACUGGGAAACUUGAGUGCAGGAGAUGAGAGUGGAAUUCCUAGUGUAGCGGUGAAAUGCGUAGAUAUUAGGAGGAACACCAGUUGCGAAGGCGGCUCUCUGGACUGUAACUGACACUGAGGCACGAAAGCGUGGGGAGCAAACAGGAUUAGAUACCCGCGUAGUCCCU